Molecule: small nuclear RNA, 107 nt
Organism: Dipodomys ordii (Ord's kangaroo rat)
Lineage: Eukaryota; Metazoa; Chordata; Mammalia; Rodentia; Heteromyidae
Source: Ensembl
ACACUUGCUUUGUCAGUGCACUUGCUAAAAUUGGAAACACACAGGCAAGAUUAGCACAGUCCUUGAGCAAAUAUGACAUGCAAAUCUCUGAGGAUUUUAAUGAAAUA